Molecule: long non-coding RNA, 690 nt
Organism: Drosophila grimshawi
Lineage: Eukaryota; Metazoa; Arthropoda; Insecta; Diptera; Drosophilidae
Exons: 3
Source: RefSeq, a predicted model, not a curated record
AAAAUGUGUAGAACUAAGAAAACUCACGUAAUGUGCUGCUGCUUCAAGUGCGCAAUCAAAAUUCUCAUUUCGAUGUUUACUGGGUGCUUUUUGGUCCUUGUCGUUGCUGGAUUAAUACUCUUCUUGGUUUACGACUACGACUACGAAAGGGAGGACGAUGCCACCAUGCUCCAUAAUGAUGUUCAAGAUGGAAUGAAAAACACAUUAGAAAAUUUUAAAAAUAAAUUAAGACCAUAAUCUAUAAGUACCAUCUUUCAAUAGCAGUCUUGUUUAAGCUUGCUUGUUCCUGGUACAUUCAUACCACGCUAUGCUACUGCUAUUUGUAUGACAUUUUGUUAUAAUGUCCAUUUUUAAUUAAGGCACGUUUUCGAUUUACGGCCUAAAAUGUUUCCCGAUAACAGAAAAAAAAACUUUUUUUCGAUGUUGAUAUAUCUAUGAUGAAGAGUCAGAGUCUGUUGUAUCCAAACAGCUAACAUCAAAAACUUUUUCGAAAGUUUUUCCUAUUUCGAACAAGGAAUAAACGGAGCGCUAAAGUUUAUCGAGCAAUUAACUCAGGUAUUAGUUGUUAUAAAUAGAAAUAGACAAGAAAACAAGACAAGCUUUACGUUGCACAAUUUUUUAAGCCCAUCCUUACCGGCGAAAAAUGAUGACAAUGAUCUGCAGGUUAUCAUUUCUUCAUUUUGUUCGGAU